Molecule: ribosomal RNA, 450 nt
Filed under: uncultured bacterium
Lineage: Bacteria
Description: bacterial SSU rRNA
Rfam family: Bacterial small subunit ribosomal RNA
Source: RNAcentral
AACGAACGCUGGCGGCAUGCCUAACACAUGCAAGUCGAACGAGACCUUCGGGUCUAGUGGCGCACGGGUGCGUAACGCGUGGGAAUCUGCCCUUGGGUUCGGAAUAACAGCGAGAAAUUGCUGCUAAUACCGGAUGAUGACGUAAGUCCAAAGAUUUAUCGCCAAAGGAUUGGCCCGCGUCCGAUUAGCUAGUUGGUGAGGUAACGGCUCACCAAGGCUACGAUCGGUAGCUGGUCUGAGAGGAUGAUCAGCCACAUUGGGACUGAGACACGGCCCAAACUCCUACGGGAGGCAGCAGUGGGGAAUAUUGGACAAUGGGCGCAAGCCUGAUCCAGCCAUGCCGCGUGAGUGAUGAAGGCCUUAGGGUUGUAAAGCUCUUUUGUCCGGGAAGAUAAUGACUGUACCGGAAGAAUAAGCCCCGGCUAACUUCGUGCCAGCAGCCGCGGUAAU